CCCUUCGGGGCUUUCUGCAAGGUGCUGCAUGGUUGUCGUCAGCUCGUGCCGUGAGGUGUCGGGUUAAGUCCCAUAACGAGCGCAACCCUUAUCGUUAGUUGCCAUCUGGUAAAGCAGGGGACUCUAGCGAAACUGCCACCGUAAGGUGCGAGGAAGGUGGGGAUGACGUCAAAUCAGCACGGCCCUUAUGUCCAGGGCUACACACGUGUUACAAUGGCCGGUACAGAGGGCAGCUACCUGGUGACAGGAUGCUAAUCUCGAAAACCGGUCUCAGUUCGGAUCGAAGUCUGCAACUCGACUUCGUGAAGCUGGAUUCGCUAGUAAUCGCGCAUCAGCCAUGGCGCGGUGAAUACGUUCCCGGGCCUU
This 366-nucleotide ribosomal RNA is filed under the name uncultured Sphingobacteriales bacterium. RNAcentral's name for it is "bacterial SSU rRNA". It matches the Rfam family "Bacterial small subunit ribosomal RNA", at positions 1017 to 1382 of the family's 1533-position model. The record is from RNAcentral. Lineage: Bacteria; Pseudomonadati; Bacteroidota; Sphingobacteriia; Sphingobacteriales.